AUCAAUUUUAGAAUUUAAGAACCCUAUACACUAUAUAACUAAACAACAGAAAUGUUUUUUGGAGUAAUGCACAUUUAUGUUAAAACGUGUAAAACAGAUUGUUACUCUUUAGUCAAGAACAUUACAGUAAGGGUUGAAAAUAAAAAAAAAGUCUAAUAUUUCAACUCAAGGGAAAAUCGAAAAAUCCUAAACAAUUGUACUUUAUAGAAAGACUGGACAGUCAAUAAGACAGUUAAGAAUGACAGGUAGAGUGUACACACCUGAGAACAGGUGAGAAUGACAGGUAGAGUGUAUAAAGGACAAGUGAGACUGACAGGUAGAGUAUAUAUAGGACAGGUGAGACUGACAGGUAGAGUGUAUAUAGGACAGGUGAGACUGACAGGUAGAGUGUAUAUAGGACAGGUGAGACUGACAGGUAGAGUGUAUAAAGGACAGGUGAGACUGACAGGUAGAGUGUACAGUCUAUAUGACAGGUGAGACUGACAGGUAGAGUGUAUAUAGGACAGGUGAGACUGACAGGUAGAGUGUACAGUCUAUAUGACAGGUGAGACUGACAGGUAGAGUGUAUAUAGGACAGGUGAGACUGACAGAUAGAGUGUAUAUAGGACAGGUGAGACUGACAGGUAGAGUGUAUAUAGGACAGGUGAGACUGACAGGUAGAGUGUAUAUAGGACAGGUGAGACUGACAGGUAGAGUGUAUAUAGGACAGGUGAGACUGACAGGUAGAGUGUAUAUAGGACAGGUGAGACUGACAGGUAGAGUGUAUAUAGGACAGGUGAGACUGACAGGUAG
Molecule: long non-coding RNA, 792 nt
Organism: Pecten maximus
Lineage: Eukaryota; Metazoa; Mollusca; Bivalvia; Pectinida; Pectinidae
Exons: 4
Source: RefSeq, a predicted model, not a curated record